GAAAGAUCUCCCAUGCUCAUGGAUUGGCAGGAUUAAUAUAGUAAAAACGGCCAUUUUACCAAAAGCAAUCUACAGAUUCAAUGCAAUCCCCAUCAAAAUACCAAUCCAAUUCUUCAAAGAGUUAGACAGAACAAUUUGCAAAUUCAUUUGGAAUAACAAAAAACCCAGGAUAGCUAAAGCUAUCCUCAACAAUAAAAGGACUUCAGGGGGAAUCACUAUCCCUGAACUCAAGCAGUAUUACAGAGCAAUAGUGAUAAAAACUGCAUGGUAUUGGUACAGAGACAGACAGAUAGACCAAUGGAAUAGAAUUGAAGACCCAGAAAUG
Molecule: long non-coding RNA, 325 nt
Filed under: Rattus norvegicus (Norway rat)
Lineage: Eukaryota; Metazoa; Chordata; Mammalia; Rodentia; Muridae
Description: long non-coding RNA NONRATT031175
Source: RNAcentral